GGUCGAUUAGCUCAGUUGGUUAGAGCGUGGUGCUAAUAUCUCGCCUCAAGCGAGGGAGACGCCAAGGUCGCGGGUUCGACCCCCGUAUUGACCA
RNAcentral lists this transfer RNA (94 nucleotides) under Trichodelitschia bisporula. It matches the Rfam family "tRNA". Rfam says of the family: Transfer RNA (tRNA) molecules are approximately 80 nucleotides in length. Their secondary structure includes four short double-helical elements and three loops (D, anti-codon, and T loops). Lineage: Eukaryota; Fungi; Ascomycota; Dothideomycetes; Phaeotrichales; Phaeotrichaceae. The record is from Rfam by way of RNAcentral.